GACGAAUGCUGGCGGCGUGCUUAACACAUGCAAGUCGAACGGAAAGGCCCUGCUUUUGUGGGGUGCUCGAGUGGCGAACGGGUGAGUAACACGUGAGUAACCUGCCCUUGACUUUGGGAUAACUUCAGGAAACUGGGGCUAAUACCGGAUAGGAGCUCCUGCUGCAUGGUGGGGGCUGGAAAGUUUCGGCGGUUGGGGAUGGACUCGCGGCUUAUCAGCUUGUUGGUGGGGUAGUGGCUUACCAAGGCUUUGACGGGUAGCCGGCCUGAGAGGGUGACCGGCCACAUUGGGACUGAGAUACGGCCCAGACUCCUACGGGAGGCAGCAGUGGGGAAUAUUGCACAAUGGGCGGAAGCCUGAUGCAGCAACGCCGCGUGCGGGAUGACGGCCUUCGGGUUGUAAACCGCUUUCGCCUGUGACGAAGCGUGAGUGACGGUAAUGGGUAAAGAAGCACCGGCUAACUACGUG
Molecule: ribosomal RNA, 468 nt
Filed under: uncultured bacterium
Lineage: Bacteria
Description: partial 16S ribosomal RNA
Rfam family: Bacterial small subunit ribosomal RNA
Source: RNAcentral